Long non-coding RNA from Pseudopipra pipra, 1773 nucleotides. RefSeq lists it as uncharacterized. The record is from RefSeq and is a predicted model, not a curated record. NCBI's taxonomy places the organism in Eukaryota, Metazoa, Chordata, Aves, Passeriformes, Pipridae. The transcript has 4 exons.
AGGCCCGGUCGGAGGGGCGCUGACAGGGCCUCACCCUAUCCGCGCGUGCGCACGGGCUUCCCGCCAGCGGUUACCAUGGAGACCGCCUCCCCCUCCCCACACGCUGCUCUCUUCUCGCUCCCCUCUUCCCGUUCCCCUCACGAGGCCGGCGGUGGCUCCUCCCGUCCCGUCCCCAUCCCACUCUCGCCCUCCGGGAGAACAGCCCGGCGCCUACUGAGGCGAACCCGGCCCGGCGGCCACCGGGGGCAGCCGAGCGCCGCGGAAAGCGGCGGCGGCCCCGCCGCCUCACGGCCCCGGCCUAGGGCGGGGAUGUCCAGUCAAACCGGGGGGCGGCUGGUUAGGGCCUGGGCUCCGGCUGUCGCCGAGGUGAAUGGCCAGUCCAGGAUGAACACCGGCGAAAGGGGAAAGCACACGGCGUAGUAUUCCUUGUUCGUGUUUUUAAAGAAUUCUAAUAUAUGAAGUCUUCACAUGUAAAACGUCAGGCACACCUGUGCAGCUGCAGCCCGUUACAACUGUGAUGUUUUGGGGUUAUAAUGGCUAUUGUGCUGCUCAUACGGAAAUUUAUGGAAAUACUGGAUUUUCAAGUCGGACAGGAAAACUUGAGCCUUUUUCCCACUACGUUCAGCUCUGGCUCAAAGUCCUCAUACUGAGUCUUACCUUGGAGUCAGGAUCAACAAUAACUUCCUCCAGAUCAUCAGUUAAUUGUGGCCAAAGGUCUGCAGCUGUGGCAAGAACCAAAAUCCCUCCUGGGCAACACUUCUCAACAGGCCAAGAUGCAGCAGAGGGAAGAGGUUUAGUGGCACAUGGAACACACCAGAGCUUCAUAAACAUCAAGGCAGACACUUCACUAACAACUACAAAUCAGUUCUAAUGGACUGAGGGGUGUAUUUUCUGCAAGGAAUCCCAUCAGGAGAUUUACCCCCGUCAGUACAAGAACUCGAAACUGAUGUGAAGAAAUCCUUUGGUUUGUGUCUUUCAACACUUCUGCUGGUUUAUUCAAGUUCUUUCUCAAGUUGCUGCACUGAUGGGAAUUAGGAACCCUCUGAAGAAAAUCCUGCAAGGACUUGCAAGUGCCCGUUGCACAAACAGACUGAAAAUGCUCCAGUUACGUACUGAGGCACGACCAAGCCCAGGCACAGGAGCAUCUGGCUGCACAAGGCCCUAAACUGAACUCAAAAGCACUCAAAAGCCAAAGGAAUUGUGGCAUUCCCAAUGAAGGUGGAUCCAAAAGCACCAACACUUACUGGUUCACCCUGGCUGCCAAACAGGUAUCUCUCUCACAGGGCAUUUCAAGGCCUCUGACCAUUCCUAAAGACAACAAGGGUGUGGUUUUCCAGUCACUGUUUGUUCCCAGCAUCAGAGGACACAGCCACAGUGACAGGCACAGAGAGGAGAAGCAGCCCUCCCAAAAUCAGGCAGCUGAUCAGAGGCAGGCUGUCUGGCUCUCCACGUAGACCUACUGGACUUCCACAAGCAAUUUUUGACCAAUUCUCGUUCCCUCCCCAGCAGGGAACUGCUCUGUGUCAGAUAUGGCUCAGGGCCCCAGUGCUUCAGACUCCAGCAGGAAAAUCUUGGCUUAAUUUGAAGUGUACUCACCCCUGAGUUACAACUGUGUGGGUGCAGGGAGGUCCCUGAAGCAGCAACACUUGGGAUCCAUGCUGUGAGAGGCAGGAAAUUUACUGUCAUGCUGUGGGUUUGGGUUGUCUCUGCAGAAAACAACGAUUAUGGGACUUGUGAACACGAUUAGGUGACAUUAAAAGGUUUUUAAAGUAA